This 1382-nucleotide long non-coding RNA is filed under the name Oryctolagus cuniculus (rabbit). RNAcentral describes it as "lncRNA (ENSOCUG00000034303.1)". Lineage: Eukaryota; Metazoa; Chordata; Mammalia; Lagomorpha; Leporidae. The record is from RNAcentral.
GUGAAAGUGUGGUUCCAGAACAGGAGGAUGAAGUGGAAGAGGGUAAAAUUGGGGCAGCUGGGCACUGCUGCCUGAGAAAAGGAACUGGUGAACGUGAAGAAAGGAACCCUGUUCCCUUCAGAGAUAUCAGGGAUCGGUGCAGCCAUGCUCCAGCAAACAGGGGACUCUCCGGACAAUGAAGACAGCCACAACAGCGACCACAGCUCAGAGCAUGCACACUUAUGAUCCACACAGACAGGACCAACUCCAUCCUCAGGAAAGAAGCACCGUGAUGAAAUGGUGUCAGACAAGGAGCAAAGCCAAAUGGGCUCCCCAAGGGGAUAGACAAAACAAUUCUGAAUGUCUUCAAAUUAAAUUCAGUAAAAACACAUUAUUUUUUAAUGUGAUGUAUUCUUGCAGAACAACCAUCUUUGUAUUUUGUGAAAAAUGUUUAAUAAAUGAUCCUUUAUAAAUAAUUUUGGUCUCCCCAUUGUGAUUUCCUUAAUUUCUAUAGAUUUUAAUAUUCAUAUCUAAGAGUGCCCCAGACUCAAGUGCUCUGUGCUAAUUCAGAUCAAGAUCAUUAAUGAAUCAGUUUUUCAUUUGUAGAUUUAUUAUGGCAAGAAAAAAAAGCAAUCUUUGGGUGAUCGAAGAGAAUCUAAACAUCAUCAUACAGUAAACCAUUUUCUUAAUUUGAAGAAUAUGGCAAAUUAAUGUUUUUGUGUGUUUUACAAAGCAAAGAGAAAAGAUAACACUAACUGCCACGACAAAUAAGUAAAGUAGUCAUAUAUUUUAAAAUUUAUGCUUAACAUAUGUGAAUCAAUCCAAUAGUUGUUUUAAAGUCACACCAACCAGAGUCCUUGAGCUAGCAAAUCAGAAUCUUCAUUGGAAUGGACACCACAGGUAUCAGAAGACAAUGAUUAUAGGCUGGCGCCACGGCUCAAUAGGCUAAUCCUCCACCUGUGGUGCCGGCACAUGGGGUUCUAGUCCCAGUCGGAGUGCUGGUUCUGUCCCGGUUGUUCCUCUUCCUGUCCACCUCUCUGCUAUGGCCCGGGAAGGCAGUGGAGGAUGGCCCAAGUGCUUGGGCCCUGCACCUGCCUAGGAGACCAGGAGAAGCACCUGGAUCCUGGCCAUUGUGGGGGUGAACCAACGGCAAAAGGAAGACCUUUCUCUCUGUCUCUCUCUCACUGUCCACUCUGCCUGUCAAAAAAAAAAAAGUCAAUGAGUGUAUUAACUUAAUACAUUUUGUGUCAUGUAUGGUUGUACAUGCAUUGGAUGCCUAAGACCUACUUACAACUAUAUCAUGUUAUUUUUUAACUGUUCCACAUUUAACCAGAAGAAUUUGGAAACAUUACCAUCAUUCCUCCUUCCUCCAUAGAAAUAAACUGAAAAAUAAUUCAUAAACA